Molecule: unclassified non-coding RNA, 332 nt
Filed under: soil metagenome
Description: partial contains 5.8S ribosomal RNA, internal transcribed spacer 2, and large subunit ribosomal RNA
Rfam family: 5.8S ribosomal RNA (bases 1-120)
Source: RNAcentral
GAUGAAGAACGCAGCGAAAUGCGAUAAGUAGUGUGAAUUGCAGAAUUCAGUGAAUCAUCGAAUCUUUGAACGCACAUUGCGCCCUUUGGUAUUCCUUAGGGCAUGCCUGUUCGAGCGUCAUUUAAACCUUCAAGCUCAGCUUGGUGUUGGGUGACUGUCCGCUUCACCGCGGACUCGCCUCAAAAUUAUUGGCGGCCGGUACAUUGGCUUCGAGCGCAGCAGAAACGCGAACUCGGGCCCGUCGUAUUGGCUCCCAGAAGCUAUCUUCACAAUUUUGACCUCGGAUCAGGUAGGGAUACCCGCUGAACUUAAGCAUAUCAAUAAGCGGAGGA